Molecule: long non-coding RNA, 315 nt
Filed under: Lathyrus oleraceus (garden pea)
Lineage: Eukaryota; Viridiplantae; Streptophyta; Magnoliopsida; Fabales; Fabaceae
Description: Pisum sativum (pea) long non-coding RNA (PSAT_LNC022485)
Source: RNAcentral
UAGUUUCUUGACAAUUCUUCUUGUUCUUGUAGAGCUGAAAAGAUGAACAAUUCUUCCACUCCUGAUCAUCAGAAAGAUGGUGACGAUGAUAAAGCAGCAAUGAAUGAGGAUGGCGCAGCAGAGAUUAUCGGUUCAUCUUCUGAUACAGCAGCAAUGAAUGAGGAUGGCGCAGCAGAGAUUAUCGGUUCAUCUUCUGAUGCAGCAGCAAUGAAUGAGGAUGGAGCAGCAGAGAUUAUCGGUUCAUCUUCUGAUGCAGCAGCAAUGAAUGAGGAUGGAGCAGCAGAGAUUAUCGGUUCAUCUUCUGAUGCAGCAGCA